RNAcentral lists this long non-coding RNA (2960 nucleotides) under Triticum aestivum (bread wheat). RNAcentral's name for it is "long non-coding RNA (TAES_LNC007851)". The record is from RNAcentral. Lineage: Eukaryota; Viridiplantae; Streptophyta; Magnoliopsida; Poales; Poaceae.
UCCCCUAUUUCCAACAGUUGAGCAAACACAUUAAUGCCUUUCUGAUACCAUAGAGUUACACGCAUGGAAAUUGUCGUCAUUGCAUAUACUCCCACCAUUCCAAAUUAUAUGAAGUUCUAGCUUUGUCCUAAGUCAAAUUUUAAUAAAGUUUACCAUGUCUAAAGCAAAAUGUGCUAAUAUUUACAACAUCAAAUAUACAUAUAGUAUGGAAACGUAUUUUAUGAGGAAACUACUGAAAUUAAUCGGUCAAACUUAAAGAAGUUCAACUUAGGACAAAGCUAGAACUUCAAAUAAUUUGGAACGGUGAACUGCAAUAUGACAAAUGGUUCUUCAUGCCUGCACCUUGUGUUUUUACUUGUAAUGUAUAAUUCCAUUUGUACUAGUUACAGAAAGUGCUACUGAAAGAGCUAGUACAAAUCUGAUGGAUAGAGAAUAAUAUUAUGUGCUGCCACAUUGACUACGUAAGGUCAACUUCAAUGACGUUGAAAGGCGAGUCCAAGUAGAUCUUCUGUCACACAGGUGUCAUUUUAUCGCUGCUUGCCGGUGAUGACAUUUCACAUAUCCAGAAGGAAUAGUCAGAUGCAUGCCCUGGACAUUUCCUCAAAUAUUGAGCAAAUACGGCGAGGUACUGUUUCUUGAAUCAGCCUCUAUUUUGAUCUUUCGUCAAUUUCUCGAAAAUACCCACGCCUGUUCAUUAACCAGAAGAUGGUUACAUCAAGAAACAAAUGUUCUAAAAAGAAGGGAAAACAAUGAUAUUAAAAUUAAUCAUCUAAUGUAACAGCACUUUCUUGCGGAGGUAAAAGGAUUUUUUUAGCAAUAGUGCCUUUUUUAAGUUUUAACAAACAAUAUUAUGUGGUCAAGUGCAUUAGAGGCACACAUCAAGAGAAAGGCAUGAAAAUAUACUGUAAUGGCAGCACAUAGUGAUAGAACAACAAUUCUAUACACAUGAUGCAGUAUAUCACUACCCCAAAACUUUUAAUAACCUCUAGGAAUUUAGUAUAGUUAUGUUUAUGUCAAGACAGUGAAUGCUUCCUCACACAAAACAUAAAGGGGAAAGAAGGAAAGAAUAUGAGCCCAUAAACAAGUACACACAACGCAAGUCGUAGCCACUCGAGAAAAUCAACUGCGUUGGCCUAGAAAAAAAAAAGUUAAAGGUAAAAUGCAAAAAAAGAUGAAAUACCAACAAUGACUAAGUACAUGUGGUUGUAGUAGAUGCAUGAUAGAUUAUUCUAUUUGUCACCAUCCCUACUUAGUUGAAAGGGGGGUAAUUGAGGCGCAGAAUUAUGGAAGUUACAGAAGGUUGAGAAAUCUGUUUUUUAGCUAAACAAAUUAUAGCAUAUUGAUUCAUCUUUUAGAAUGCAAAUAAUAUAUGGCAUCUGAAGAGAUAUAUCAUACAAUUGUGACGCAUCAUAUUCUUGGCGCAAUUUCCGUGGAGUAUGCAAAAACCUUCUUUGUCCUUGUGGCUGCCAUCCUGACCUCUCAAGGUAUUCUUCAAUCAACCUAACAUUGCCAAUUAGACCUUCAGAUUAUUUGUGAAAAAUGAACUCUUUUUGUUUCUAACUCGAAAAAGAAGAACAAAGAGCUCACAUGCUGCAUAUUGACUUUUGGGAAGCCGCCAAUUCACGAUCUGGGAAAGAGUCGUCAAAUCUGUAGCUUAACCACACAUACAACUCUAGGACCUGCAACGAUCACAAAUGCGAUGCUGAUUAAUCUCAUUUUAGAAACAGUUUAGAGACAGUGGCGUGCCAAAAUGGAAUCCAAAUAAUCACUGCAGAAACUAGGAACUCUCCAGAAGUAAUGGUUGCCUGAAACGGCAAGUGUCUAGUCCAAUAUUUUUCCAAAAAAGCUCAUCUUAUAUGCACAUAGACCCAAUGCAACAGAGUACUUGAUAAAGCCCGCUGAAUUAUGUAAUGAUAUGUUAGGCCCUAUACAAAAGUAUAAAAUUAUGGAUCAAUGAGAAAUGAGUGCUAGCCCAGCAUAGUAUAGUCUCUAAGAAACUCUAGGCUCAGCACUUCAACCAAUUAUUAAGUGGUUUGCUUUAAGAUAGUUUCUGUACCAACUGAUACGUAAUUUUAGUGUCAGGCCUCCAAAAUCCCUACAUGGGAAGUAGUUAAAUCGACAGCAUUUACUGAUGACCUUUACAUACCUUAAUUUGAAUGUCUCUAGCUUAGGACCGUAUGGGAUAAUCCAGUUAAUUAAUAUGACUAUUUGAGGUGGUAGUCUACGCUAUGGUAUGUUGUACCAUCCUUCGAACUCCCAAGUUUGAUUUUUAACUUGGAAGUUUAUAUAAUGCUGAUGAACAGAAACUGCCUUCACAACAGAAUAGACAAUGCACAUGUUUAAGAGCAAAAUAAUUUGUGAUUAGAAUAACAUUGACAAGAUAUAUAGUAGUACUGAUAUUGACUGGCAAAUUACAGGUAUUAUCUGUUAAGCUUCAUGCACUAGCCAACGCAACCAAAAGUCUGAACUGAUGGAAAGGGCUAGUGCAAUCCGCAUAUACUAUAACACCCCCUCUCACGUGUGACGGGGAAGUCAACACGUGCAACCGGAAGAGAGUGACGGCGCGCGAAACUCACGUAUGACUAGGAGGCCUAUACGUGGACACAAAGGGGAGCUACCAGCAGUUUUUGGAUAAAUCGCGAAAGCCAGGACUUGAACUCAAGACCUUGGGCUCUGAUACCAUGUUAAGCUUCAUGCACUAGCCAACGCAACCAAAAGUCCAAACUGAUGGAAAGGGCUAGUGCAAUCCACAUAUACUGUAACAUUAUCUUCUGAUAUACUACCUCUUUAGUGACCUAAAAGGUCUUAUAUUUCUUUACAGAGGGAGUAAUUUGCUAGAGAAAUAGAAUAUGGAACAACCUUGUGAACAGAUUCAAGCUCCUGGAGUUGAUUGUGUGUUGUAGGCACCCGCAGUGUUCCAGGUGUAAAUAUUUCUUUAAGCCGAACUGUGCCUUUCUUUG